This 274-nucleotide ribosomal RNA is filed under the name uncultured bacterium. Its description in RNAcentral is "partial 16S ribosomal RNA". It matches the Rfam family "Bacterial small subunit ribosomal RNA", at positions 523 to 796 of the family's 1533-position model. The record is from RNAcentral.
CUACGGAGGAUGCGAGCGUUAUCCGGAUUCAUUGGGUUUAAAGGGUGCGCAGGCGGCCUUAUAAGUCAGUGGUGAAAUCUCCCGGCUCAACCGGGAAACUGCCAUUGAUACUGUAAGGCUAGAAUACAGACGAGGUAGGCGGAAUGUAGCAUGUAGCGGUGAAAUGCUUAGAUAUGCUACAGAACACCAAUCGCGAAGGCAGCUUACCAGACUGUAAUUGACGCUAAGGCACGAAAGCGUGGGGAGCGAACAGGAUUAGAAACCCCGGUAGUCC